GACGAACGCUGGCGGCGUGCUUAACACAUGCAAGUCGAACGGAAAGGCCCUGCUUUUGUGGGGUGCUCGAGUGGCGAACGGGUGAGUAACACGUGAGUAACCUGCCCUUGACUUUGGGAUAACUUCAGGAAACUGGGGCUAAUACCGGAUAGGAGCUCCUGCUGCAUGGUGGGGGUUGGAAAGUUUCGGCGGUUGGGGAUGGACUCGCGGCUUAUCAGCUUGUUGGUGGGGUAGUGGCUUACCAAGGCUUUGACGGGUAGCCGGCCUGAGAGGGUGACCGGCCACAUUGGGACUGAGAUACGGCCCAGACUCCUACGGGAGGCAGCAGUGGGGAAUAUUGCACAAUGGGCGGAAGCCUGAUGCAGCAACGCCGCGUGCGGGAUGACGGCCUUCGGGUGGUAAGCAGCUUUCGCCUGUGACGAAGCGUGAGUGACGGUAAUGGUAAAGAAGCACCGGCUAACUACGUG
This 467-nucleotide ribosomal RNA is filed under the name uncultured bacterium. RNAcentral describes it as "partial 16S ribosomal RNA". It matches the Rfam family "Bacterial small subunit ribosomal RNA", at positions 28 to 507 of the family's 1533-position model. The record is from RNAcentral.